Molecule: ribosomal RNA, 253 nt
Filed under: uncultured bacterium
Lineage: Bacteria
Description: partial 16S ribosomal RNA
Rfam family: Bacterial small subunit ribosomal RNA
Source: RNAcentral
UACGGAGGGUGCGAGCGUUAAUCGGAAUUACUGGGCGUAAGGNGCNCGNAGGCGGUUUGUUAAGCUAGAUGUGAAAGCCNCNNGCUCAACCUGGGAUGNUCAUUUAGNACUGGCAGACUAGAGUNNUUGAGAGGGGAGUGGAAUUCCAGGUGUAGCGGUGAAAUGCGUAGAUAUCUGGAGGAACAUCAGUGGCGAAGGCGANUNCCUGGCAAAAGACUGACGCUCAUGUGCGAAAGUGUGGGUAGCGAACAGG